UGACCUCAAAUCAGGUAGGACUACCCGCUGAACUUAAGCAUAUCAAUAAGCGGAGGAAAAGAAACUAACAAGGAUUCCCCUAGUAACUGCGAGUGAAGCGGGAAAAGCUCAAAUUUAAAAUCUGGCAGUCUUUGGCUGUCCGAGUUGUAAUCUAGAGAAGCAUUAUCCGCGCUGGACCGUGUACAAGUCUCCUGGAAUGGAGCGUCAUAGAGGGUGAGAAUCCCGUCUUUGACACGGACUGCCAGGGCUUUGUGAUGUGCUCUCAAAGAGUCGAGUUGUUUGGGAAUGCAGCUCAAAAUGGGUGGUAAAUUCCAUCUAAAGCUAAAUAUUGGCGAGAGACCGAUAGCGAACAAGUACCGUGAGGGAAAGAUGAAAAGAACUUUGGAAAGAGAGUUAAACAGUACGUGAAAUUGCUGAAAGGGAAACGCUUGAAGUCAGUCGCGUUGUCCAGGGAUCAAUCUUGCUUUUGCUUGGUGUACUUUCUGGUUAACGGGUCAGCAUCAAUUUUGACUAUUGGAAAAAGAUCAAGGGAAUGUGGCAUCUUCGGAUGUGUUAUAGCCCUUGGUUGCAUACAAUAGUUGGGAUUGAGGAACUCAGCACGCCGCAAGGCCGAGUGUAAUAACUACGUACGUGCUUAGGA
Molecule: ribosomal RNA, 640 nt
Filed under: Calonarius sodagnitus
Lineage: Eukaryota; Fungi; Basidiomycota; Agaricomycetes; Agaricales; Cortinariaceae
Description: eukaryotic LSU rRNA
Rfam family: Eukaryotic large subunit ribosomal RNA
Source: RNAcentral